UGGGGAAUAUUGGACAAUGGGGGCAACCCUGAUCCAGCAAUGCCGCGUGUGUGAAGAAGGCCUGCGGGUUGUAAAGCACUUUCAGUAGAGACGAAAAGCCUAAGGUUAAUACCCUUGGGUCUUGACUUAACCUACAGAAGAAGCACCGGCUAACUCCGUGCCAGCAGCCGCGGUAACACGGAGGGUGCGAGCGUUAAUCGGAAUUACUGGGCGUAAAGCGCGCGUAGGCGGUUUGGUCAGUCGGAUGUGAAAGCCCCGGGCUUAACCUGGGAAUUGCAUUCGAUACUGCCUGACUAGAGUAUGGGAGAGGGAAGUGGAAUUUCCGGUGUAGCGGUGAAAUGCGUAGAUAUCGGAAGGAACACCAGUGGCGAAGGCGACUUCCUGGCCCAAUACUGACGCUCAGGUGCGAAAGCGUGGGGAGCAAACAGGAUUAGAUACCCCGGUAGUCC
RNAcentral lists this ribosomal RNA (449 nucleotides) under uncultured prokaryote. RNAcentral describes it as "bacterial SSU rRNA". It matches the Rfam family "Bacterial small subunit ribosomal RNA", at positions 355 to 796 of the family's 1533-position model. The record is from RNAcentral.